RNAcentral lists this ribosomal RNA (477 nucleotides) under uncultured bacterium. RNAcentral describes it as "partial 16S ribosomal RNA". It matches the Rfam family "Bacterial small subunit ribosomal RNA", at positions 28 to 506 of the family's 1533-position model. The record is from RNAcentral.
GAUGAACGCUGGCGGCGUGCUUAACACAUGCAAGUCGAACGGGAAACCUUUUAAUGAAGCUUCGGCAGAUUUAGCUGGUUUCUAGUGGCGGACGGGUGAGUAACGCGUGGGUAACCUGCCUUAUACAGGGGGAUAACAGUCAGAAAUGACUGCUAAUACCGUAUAAGCGCACAGGACCGCAUGGUCCGGUGUGAAAAACUCCGGUGGUAUAAGAUGGACCCGCGUUGGAUUAGCUUGUUGGUGGGGUAACGGCUCACCAAGGCGACGAUCCAUAGCCGGCCUGAGAGGGUGAACGGCCACAUUGGGACUGAGACACGGCCCAGACUCCUACGGGAGGCAGCAGUGGGGAAUAUUGCACAAUGGGGGAAACCCUGAUGCAGCGACGCCGCGUGAAGGAAGAAGUAUCUCGGUAUGUAAACUUCUAUCAGCAGGGAAGAUAGUGACGGUACCUGACUAAGAAGCCCCGGCUAACUACGU